GGAGAGGUGCUCGAGUGGUUGAAGAGGCACGCCUGGAAAGCGUGUAUACCCCUAAAGGGUAUCACGAGUUCGAAUCUCGUUCUCUCCGCAA
This 91-nucleotide transfer RNA is filed under the name Bacteroides salyersiae. Its description in RNAcentral is "tRNA-Ser". It matches the Rfam family "tRNA". Rfam says of the family: Transfer RNA (tRNA) molecules are approximately 80 nucleotides in length. Their secondary structure includes four short double-helical elements and three loops (D, anti-codon, and T loops). Further hydrogen bonds mediate the characteristic L-shaped molecular structure. tRNAs have two regions of fundamental functional importance: the anti-codon, which is responsible for specific mRNA codon recognition, and the 3' end, to which the tRNAs corresponding amino acid is attached (by aminoacyl-tRNA synthetases). tRNAs cope with the degeneracy of the genetic code in two manners: having more than one tRNA (with a specific anti-codon) for a particular amino acid; and 'wobble' base-pairing, i.e. permitting non-standard base-pairing at the 3rd anti-codon position. Lineage: Bacteria; Pseudomonadati; Bacteroidota; Bacteroidia; Bacteroidales; Bacteroidaceae. The record is from RNAcentral. RNAcentral also lists the same sequence under 4 other names.